This 3628-nucleotide long non-coding RNA is filed under the name Sus scrofa (pig). Its description in RNAcentral is "lncRNA (ENSSSCG00060027299.1)". Lineage: Eukaryota; Metazoa; Chordata; Mammalia; Artiodactyla; Suidae. The record is from RNAcentral.
AAAAUUAAAUUUAAAAAAUAUAAUACAUUGCCCCUAGGUAAAAACAGUGAGACAUAACAAAUAGCACCUCGAAAUAAAAAAUAAAUUAAAAAAAAAAUAGAACCUUGAUUCUCCAGGAGAGAGAAUCCAUCUUUCCUGUUCAAAGAACUCGUUUUCUAAUGACAAUCCCUUAAGCUGGUCAACUGCCUAACCUGAUCGAACAGCUCACUUUAUCUCCUGAUGUCUUUUUAGGUAUAGAGAGAGCAGACAGCUAUAUAAAUUCACACUCUGUCCAAUUCAGUAUCCAAUGUCUAUUUGAUGACUGACUGUGAGGGGUUUUUAAACAUUAUCAAUCCUAUUCUUGGGUCUCUGGCUAUCUUCCCCUAUACUAUCUGUUUGCAGUUAUCUUAAAUCUUUAAAAAGACAAUCUUUCUAGUAUGGUAAAGGAAAAACAGCUUUUUUAUUUAGUUAUAGGACACUUUCAUCAUGCACUGCUUCAAAUUCUAAGCUUAACAGAAAAAUGCUGUUACCAAAAGUUUAGAAACCAAAUUGAUCUGCACCAUUUCAGUUUCCAACUCUUCCCUGACCACACUGGAAAACAACAUUUACUGUUAUUCCUUUAUAUAGUGUGACCACAAGAAACUACGUCUGUUCUUAAAAAUGUUCAAGUGUCACCUAAAACUUCAUUCUCCCCUUCUUCUCUCUUGACGAAAACAAUCUCACAACUAUGUCAGAGGGAGAAGAAGACCAUCAGCUCAAAGCAUCUUCAAAUGACCAUUUCAAACUACUUUUCCUUUUUUUUAUUCAUUCCUCCAAGGAGUACCUCAUCAGAUGUGACCCUAUAGAUAUUCUAUCAUAAUCUUAUUUUAUUGACAAGGAAGUUAUUGCUGAAGAAGGAGAAAACUUGAAUCUUUUCUCCCUCUCUGGUUUUCUUUUUAAUAAUAUCAACAUCACUAAGACCUAUUGUUACUAAAACGCAACAGUGUGUUUUAAUAGAAAGAGCAAACACGAUUUGAAUAGGAACUAAUUCUCUGAAAUUUGAAAAUCAAGCCCACUUCAUUAUCAUAUUCAUUGUGGCUAUCCCUAAUGAUUCAAUAACUAGCCUCUUGGCUUCUAUGCUUUUUCCAUGGCUCUGAGUCUCUCUUUUCCCCCCUCCCCCUGUGCAUCGCUCACAUGACAUGUGAUCGGGCCUGGAGAUCUGGCAGAUCUUGACCAAUGGCCCUUGACACAGCUUAUGAGUAUUUAAGCUGUUAAUUUACUAGAUCAAAGAAUGGAAAAAGCUACAGGCCAUACCCCUAAUGUUCUUCAUCAAAAGCAAGUAUGCAAGAACAGAGUAUGAUGAUUUGAAAACAGCACAAACUUCACUUAUUUCAUUAAAGCAAUGUGAACCGACAAAAGGGAUUAAGUGGAGAACUAUUUCCAAGGAUAAAAAGGAUCCACGAGAGUGUACAGAUACCUAAUAUAGAAAGAGAUAAAUAUUAAUUUAGAACUAGGAUAGGCAUUUUAAAAAAAAUGGUGUGUUCUAGAUGCAUUUAUCUAAAAUUAGGUGAGGUCAACUUUUGUUUAUUUAUCAUUUGUCAUUAGUUUAAAUGUCAAAUAGCUGUGUCCUUCUUUAUUAAUGAAACUCUGAUAAUAAAAUAUUUUUUAGAAGUGAUAUCUCUUCUAUUAUUUAUUCAGGACAUCAUUAAGAAUAGCAUAUUUGGACAAUGACAACUGUGUCUGGUUGUAAUAUCUUUGCCAAACGUGGUGACACCACAACAUAAAUUAGAUUUGACAUGUGAUUAUUCUGAAGUUCUUUUCUUUUCCCCCACUUUAUUUCUAUUUAAACAACUGUGGAAGAGUAAAAUAAAAAUGUGUAAACAAUUUAUUCUAGAACACUUGUAGGAAAUCUUUCUUAAUGUUGGCUGCAUUUUUCUGUUCAUUUGCCCCAUGAAAUGCAAUAGUGAUGUUGGAUAAAGAACUGCAUGUGUCAGUACUAUUUUAGCCAUUAUGCCUGUAGGUGUAAUUAGAUUUUCUCAUUUGAAAUCCAUGUUAUUAUGUGCGCUCGUGGCAUGGCACUCCUGUGAGCAAUCAUCACUGAAUGUCUACAAUAGGCUUAUAAUGAGACACAUAUUUAUAUUAGCACAGUAUUUUUUUUUUUCCAAUUGAAGUCACAGUCUUUCUCAGACCUCUAGGUUGAAAAAAGUUUAUGCUUUCUCUGAACAUCCUGUAUGAUCCUAUGAUACAUCCCCACGUGCCAAUAACAAAUUUUUUGGAUAAAAGCAAAUCUUGUAAGUGUUCAUAAAUAAUAGUGUAUUUAUUAGUGCAUACACAUAAAUAAUACUGCAUAUUAUGAGUAAGUAUGAAUGGGAGGCGCCUAGAUUGUUUUUUUAAAAAGUAAUUAAAGAUGAACUAUAUCUAGAAUAUAUCCAGAAAUUUCCAUUAUAAUUAGUUAAGAAAAAAAAGCUGAUGGUUUUUGAAGUUUAAAAGAUUUAUGAUAUCUGGAGUUCUCAUCGUCGUGGCACAGAAGAAACAAAUCCGACCAGGAACCCUGAAGUUGAGGGUUUGACCCCUGGCCUCGCUCAGUGGGUUAAGGAUCCGGCGUUGCCGUGAGCUGUGGUGCAGGUUGCAGACGCGGCUCGGAUCUGGCGUUGCUGUGACUGUGGUGUAGGCCAGUGGUACAGCUCUGAUUAGACUCCUAGCCUGGGAAUCUCCAUAUGCCAUAGGUGCGGUCCUCAAAAGACAAAAGACAAAAAAAAAAAAAAAAGAUUUAUGAUAUCAAUAGCAAAAUACAAAUAAUUUAAUUUAAAAAUGGUCAGAGGAUCUGAUUAGACAUUUUUCUAAAGAAGAUGUACAGGUGGCCAACACACACACACACACACACACGCAAAUGAAAUGCUCAACCUCAUUAAUCAUAAAGGAAAUGUAAAUUAGAACACAAUUCACAGACUGGGAGAAAAUAUAUGUAAAGCAUACAUCUGAUAAAGGAAUAUUAUCCAAAAUAUAUAAAGAACUAUUAAAACUCAAUAAUAUGAAAACAAAUAAUCUGAUUUUAAAAUGUGCCGAAGACUUUAACAGACAUCUCACCAAAGAUAUACAAACGGAAAAUAAUUAUAUGAAAAGAUUCUCCACAUCACAUAUCAUCCAAAAACAAAACAGAUCAAAACAAAAAUAAGAUAUCACCAUACAACGGCUAAAAUUCAGAACACUGAUAAUACCAAAUGUUGUUGAGAAUGCGAUAGGAAUGGAAAAUGGUACAGCCAUGUUGGAAGACAGUGUGGCAGUUUCUUAUAAAACUAAACAUAUUCUUACCAUAAAAUAGAGCAAACACAUUGUUUGGUAUUUACCCAAAGGAACUGAAAGCUUAUGUCCACACAAAAACCUGCACAAAGAUAUUUAGAGAGCUUUAUUCAUAAUUGCCAAAACCUGCAAACAACCAAGACGUCUUUUAAUAGGUGAAUAGAUAAUAAAACAUGAUACAACCAGAUAAUGCAACAUUAUUUAACAUUGAAAGGGAAUGCCAUGCACAAAAAUAAACUCAAAGUGGUUUAAAGACUUACAUGUAAGACAAGACAUCAUUAAACACCUAGAAGAGAACACAGGCAAAACAUUCUCUGAUAUCAACCUUACAAAUGUUUUCUCAGUCAGUCUCCCAAAGCAACAGAAAUAA